UUGUCAAAGGAGAUCAAGAGAAGGCAAGAGAAGCCUGUUGGCAUGCAGCUCCCUCCAAAAUUGGCCAAUGCUCUUGGGUACCUAGCCUGAAGGGGUCUAGGGACUAAAUGCACAAGUCAGUCUCUGGAAGAGGCCAAAAACUUCCCCAAGUAUGCCUGGGAGGAGGAACGGGUAGCUACUGGGCAUGCACGUAAUUGCCAAUUUGACUGAAAUUGAGGUAGCGACCCCGGACGGGUACGCUGCUGUAGUCCAGGAGUAAGGCAGGGAGGCAAAACUUUUUGCUAAGUGUAAUGUGGUGGAGGCAAGGGAGCUCCCGGGCAUGUAAACCCUCCAAAGUAGCCUUAAUUGCCUGUUGCCUGUCCUGGAGAUAUCCCUAGAUAUAUGCGAGUUUGAUAUGCAGAGAGAAAAAAUGUGUGUUGGCAGAAGGAAAAACCUUUUGCAGAAGCAUGCCGAGGUGAGAAGGCAAGGGUAGCUACCAGGCAUACGCUUAGCAGGAAAGUUGGCCAGACUUGUGGCGUCCCUGCCCUGAAGGGCUUUGCAGGUACCCAGAGCUAAAUCUGUGUCAGCAAGAAGCCCAAACAUUUGCAGAAGCUUCGUGGAGGAAGCAAUGGUGGCUUGCAGGCAUGCAGCUAGCUGGAAAGGAGAGGCAAACUUGGCAGAAAGCUAACGUGGAGGGGUCCUGGGCUGGCAUUGGCAAGCAAUUCUGCAUGUGGAGCUAGCCCGGAAGAUUUGGAAAAUGUGAUCAGCGAGGAAAAGCGAAGGUACCCUGGCAGGUACCUCUCUCCAGAAUUGGGCCAAGAUCUCAGGUAGCUCCCCUGAAGCAAUCUGCUGACAGGAUGCCAAAGUCAAUCUGGUGUGGACGUAGGCACAAACUUUUGUCAAAGGAGAUCAAGAGAAGGCAAGAGAAGCCUGUUGGCAUGCAGCUCCCUCCAAAAUUGGCCAAUGCUCUUGGGUACCUAGCCUGAAGGGGUCUGAGGACUAAAUGCACAAGUCAGUCUCUGGAAGAGGCCAAAAACUUUUCAAGUAUGCCUGGGAGGAGGAACGGGUAGCUACUGGGCAUGCACGUAAUUGCCAAUUUGACUGAAAUUGAGGUAGCGACCCCGGACGGGUACGCUGCUGUAGUCCAGGAGUAAGGCAGGGAGGCAAAACUUUUUGCUAAGUGUAAUGUGGUGGAGGCAAGGGAGCUCCCGGGCAUGUAAACCCUCCAAAGUAGCCUUAAUUGCCUGUUGCCUGUCCUGGAGAUAUCCCUAGAUAUAUGCGAGUUUGAUAUGCAGAGAGAAAAAAUGUGUGUUGGCAGAAGGAAAAACCUUUUGCAGAAGCAUGCCGAGGUGAGAAGGCAAGGGUAGCUACCAGGCAUACGCUUAGCAGGAAAGUUGGCCAGACUUGUGGCGUCCCUGCCCUGAAGGGCUUUGCAGGUACCCAGAGCUAAAUCUGUGUCAGCAAGAAGCCCAAACAUUUGCAGAAGCUUCGUGGAGGAAGCAAUGGUGGCUUGCAGGCAUGCAGCUAGCUGGAAAGGAGAGGCAAACUUGGCAGAAAGCUAACGUGGAGGGGUCCUGGGCUGGCAUUGGCAAGCAAUUCUGCAUGUGGAGCUAGCCCGGAAGAUUUGGAAAAUGUGAUCAGCGAGGAAAAGCGAAGGUACCCUGGCAGGUACCUCUCUCCAGAAUUGGGCCAAGAUCUCAGGUAGCUCCCCUGAAGCAAUCUGCUGACAGGACGCCAAAGUCAAUCUGCGUGUGGACGUAGGCACAAACUUUUGUCAAAGGAGAUCAAGAGAAGGCAAGAGAAGCCUGUUGGCAUGCAGCUCCCUCCAAAAUUGGCCAAUGCUCUUGGGUACCUAGCCUGAAGGGGUCUAGGGACUAAAUGCACAAGUCAGUCUCUGGAAGAGGCCAAAAACUUCCCCAAGUAUGCCUGGGAGGAGGAACGGGUAGCUACUGGGCAUGCACGUAAUUGCCAA
This is a non-coding RNA of Anas platyrhynchos (mallard), 1951 nucleotides long. Lineage: Eukaryota; Metazoa; Chordata; Aves; Anseriformes; Anatidae. The record is from RefSeq and is a predicted model, not a curated record.